AAAAUCGGAUUAACCGUUUAGAAGUUACCGAAUUAUUUCCCUCUUUUUUUUCCUAUACCACUGUGCGUCGUGACUUUAAUGUUGCAGCUUUACUUCCUCCACAGGUUCGGCAGCCAGGUUGUUUCGCCUUCUGACGACCGUACAAAUGAUCUAUAGGGGGCUGCUACGACAUUUAUUUAAAUGUCGUAGCAGGUCAGUCUUAUCCGAGUCCGGUGAAUACCUGGAAUCUCUUCGGGCGGUAAUGGAAGACGAUUGCGGAUGUUGUUUCCCUCGUUGGAUGUGGCAGAGUGAUUUUAUUUGCCGCUGCUUCAAUAGCCGCAAUACCACAUCUUCUCAUCAACUCUUCAAAACGGAAAAAGGACAGAAUCUUUCCUCUUGGCUCACCAAGAUACCUUCGUGACGCCACAAUAUGUCUCCUCAUCUUAUAUUAUAUAUUAUAUAUUUAUAUAUUUUAUUUUUCCGCCAUUUAAUUUAUUUUGUUUUUUCUUUACUAAUAAAGUAUUUAUCAACGUUACUAUCUUUUCGUUUAUUCUUAAACGUCAAAAAAAUCUUUGCGUUGCCAACUAUCUAAGUGUGUUUAUGUUCAAGAACAGGGUG
Lucilia cuprina (Australian sheep blowfly) is the source of this 597-nucleotide long non-coding RNA. RefSeq lists it as uncharacterized. The record is from RefSeq and is a predicted model, not a curated record. The transcript is spliced from 3 exons. Lineage: Eukaryota; Metazoa; Arthropoda; Insecta; Diptera; Calliphoridae.